RNAcentral lists this ribosomal RNA (301 nucleotides) under uncultured bacterium. Its description in RNAcentral is "partial 16S ribosomal RNA". It matches the Rfam family "Bacterial small subunit ribosomal RNA", at positions 509 to 807 of the family's 1533-position model. The record is from RNAcentral.
CAGUCGCCGCGGGAAUACGUAGGGUGCGAGCGUUGUCCGGAAUUAUUGGGCGUAAAGAGCUUGUAGGUGGUUUGUCGCGUCUGCUGUGAAAAUCCGAGGCUCAACCUCGGACUUGCAGUGGGUACGGGCAGACUAGAGUGUGGUAGGGGAGACUGGAAUUCCUGGUGUAGCUGUGGAAUGCGCAGAUAUCAGGAGGAACACCGAUGGCGAAGGCAGGUCUCUGGGCCAUUACUGACACUGAGAAGCGAAAGCAUGGGGAGCGAACAGGAUUAGAGACCCCAGUAGUCCCUGUCUCUUAUAC